Lytechinus pictus (painted urchin) is the source of this 1106-nucleotide long non-coding RNA. RefSeq lists it as uncharacterized. Lineage: Eukaryota; Metazoa; Echinodermata; Echinoidea; Temnopleuroida; Toxopneustidae. The transcript is spliced from 3 exons. The record is from RefSeq and is a predicted model, not a curated record.
ACGGAAAGGUAGCACCCGCGGAAAAGCCUCAUUUAAAUAACAUUUGCAUAUAACGUACAGAUACUCCAUAGAAGCUCCAUGGUGAUAAGCGUAUUUUGUACCACUUUUGGCCACACCUCCUGGGAGACAUUUGAACCGAAUCCUAAGCCCCCAUUUGCAUAUUGCGAAUGGAUCAUUUAUUUUUUCUUUGCGUAUUCGCAAGAUACUGUGAUUUGAUUGGACAUUACCUCAUGAAUAAUGUAUUUUUCUAUUGAAAUUCGUACGUCAUAAUUUGACCCCUAUCGUCACUUCGGCUUAAUCAAGGGCUGAAAGGUGACGUCACCCGCACAGAAGAAGGUUAUUUCCUUGAAAGAUUUUCGACAUAGAACAUGAUGCUGCUUCACAUCCUCUUUUAAAGACUCAAGAAUUACAAGACCAAAUUAAGCUGCAGGACCCUCCUGAUUCAAAAAGACAUGGAACAUGACUCUGCUUCACAUCCUUUGUUUUAGAGACUCAAGAAAUACAAGACCAAAUUAAGGGUUUGUUUUUUUAAUUCCAAUAAUAAUUUUCUGGUGGAAGAAUUAGGGAAUAAUGCAUUGACAAUAUGCCAAACAUCCUAUAUCAAACUGAAUUACUGCAUGUAUUUACAAUAGAGUAUUGUAACUGCUUCCCCCUCACCACUGACCAAACAAAACCCACAAACAAUUUAAGAGGGAUAGGGUUAUUUUAGGGGUAAUUAUCCUUGCUGAUUGUAGCAGUAGUUUUUACAAAUAUGGAUGUAGUUAAUGAUGAUGUUUAUGAUAAUAAUACUUAGAAUAAUAAAUUCAUUACGAUGACAUAACAGUAAUGAUGAAUAAAUAUGAUAAUUCAGCACUAUAAUAUGUACAUGAAAUUGUGUAACAAUUUUGGCAAUGAAGAAUUUUUAACAAAAAUAAUGAUAAAUGAAUUCGGGGGGGGGGGGGGCAUGUGACAUUGCAUCUGUGUUUGUGAGGACAGUAGUCUCUUUCACACCAUUUCAUCUUAAGCAGAUGGGAACGAGCUCUGAUCAAAAUUUGAUCUUUAAACUCAAGAGGAAAAUAAUUGUUACCUGAUUUAUGUAUUUGGAAUAAAAUGAAUUGAAAUAAUAA